RNAcentral lists this ribosomal RNA (315 nucleotides) under uncultured eukaryote. Its description in RNAcentral is "partial 18S ribosomal RNA". It matches the Rfam family "Eukaryotic small subunit ribosomal RNA", at positions 1470 to 1796 of the family's 1831-position model. The record is from RNAcentral.
CCCUUAGACGUUCUGGGCCGCACGCGCGCUACACUGACCAGUGCAACAAGCAUCCGUCCUUGGCCGACAGGCUCGGGCAAUCUUUGAACGCUGGUCGUGAUGGGGAUAGACUUUUGCAAUUUUUGGUCUUCAACGAGGAAUUCCUAGUAAACGCAAGUCAUCAACUUGCAUUGAUUACGUCCCUGCCCUUUGUACACACCGCCCGUCGCACCUACCGAUUGAAUGGUCCGGUGAAGCCUCCGGAUUGGCGCGCACCUCGGUGCCGCCGAGAAGUUGGCUAAACCUUACCAUUUAGAGGAAGGUGAAGUUGUAACA